ACCUGGAAUCCCAGCACUUUGGGAAGCUAAGGCAAGCAGAUUGCCAGAGCUCAAGAUUUCUCCACCCUUUUUUUUUUUUGAAACCUCCCACUAACUACUUAUUCUGCUCCAAACUGGCUUCUACAUCCUCGCCAGUUUAUCAAUCAAAAUAGCUCUCAGUGAGGUCAUCACUGAGAUCUGUGCAUGAAAUUCAUUGGGCAGUUUUUAAUGUUUAACUUCAGUCAUAUCUCAUUUAGGUUUUGAUUUGCAUUUCCCUAACAACUAAUGAUGUUGGGCAUCUUUUAUGUGUUUAUUGGCCAUUUGUAAAACUUCUCUGAAGAAAUGUCUACUCAGAUUGUUUAUUCAUUCUGAAAUUGGGUUGU
This 362-nucleotide long non-coding RNA is filed under the name Pan troglodytes (chimpanzee). RNAcentral describes it as "long non-coding RNA NONPTRT002078". Lineage: Eukaryota; Metazoa; Chordata; Mammalia; Primates; Hominidae. The record is from RNAcentral.